This 252-nucleotide ribosomal RNA is filed under the name uncultured bacterium. RNAcentral describes it as "partial 16S ribosomal RNA". It matches the Rfam family "Bacterial small subunit ribosomal RNA", at positions 524 to 776 of the family's 1533-position model. The record is from RNAcentral.
UACGGAGGAUGCGAGCGUUAUCCGGAUUUAUUGGGUUUAAAGGGUGCGCAGGCGGCACGGCAAGCCGGCGGUCAAAUCGCGGGGCUCAGCCCCGCCCAGCCGUCGGAACUGCCGGGCUAGAGUGGGCGAGAAGUGCGCGGAAUGCGUGGUGUAGCGGUGAAAUGCAUAGAUAUCACGCAGAACUCCGAUUGCGAGGGCAGCGCACCGGCGCCCUACUGACGCUCAGGCACGAAAGCGUGGGUAUCGAACAGG